RNAcentral lists this ribosomal RNA (408 nucleotides) under uncultured bacterium. Its description in RNAcentral is "partial 16S ribosomal RNA". It matches the Rfam family "Bacterial small subunit ribosomal RNA", at positions 28 to 526 of the family's 1533-position model. The record is from RNAcentral.
GACGAACGCUGGCGGCGUGCUUAACACAUGCAAGUCGAACGAAGUGGCGAACGGGUGAGUAACGCGUAAUAAACCUGCCCUUCAGAGGGGUAAAACAUUUGAAAACGACUGCUAAUACCGCAUACUGAUGGCGGGGAUUGCGUCGGAUUAGCUAGUUGGAGGGGUAACGGCCCACCAAGGCGAUGAUCAGUAGCCGGUCUGGGAGGAUGAACGGCCACAUUGGGACUGAGACACGGCCCAGACGCCUACGGGAGGCAGCAGUGGGGAAUCUUCCGCAAUGGACGAAAGUCUGACGGAGCAACGCCGCGGGAGUGAUGACGGCCUUCGGGUUGUAAAGCUCUGUUAAUCGGGACGCGGUACCGGAAUAGAAAGCCACGGCUAACUACGUGCCAGCAGCCGCGGUAAUAC